AUGUGAUGUCCAUCCUCAGAAUAAAAGAUUUUCACAGCUUUUUGAAGAAUCUACUAUCAAAAGAAAACAGGUAUCAGGAAGAAUUAGAAGUAAAUCCUCUCGUCACAAACUCACCUGCAUCACCAUCUGUUUUGAAGAAAAAUCUCUCCUGAGAAAAAAGAGAUGGAGCUCCGAUAGUCUGAAUCAUCUCUGUACUCUACCUACCACCGAGCAACACCGGCUCAGUAAACUGCUAAACAUUUGUUCUGAGAAAGCAAGAAGCAAGAGGAGCAUCGCACAACCAGAACUGCUGGAAUCACUUGUGGGCAAC
Long non-coding RNA from Bos indicus x Bos taurus (hybrid cattle), 310 nucleotides. The record is from Ensembl. Lineage: Eukaryota; Metazoa; Chordata; Mammalia; Artiodactyla; Bovidae.